AGUCGAGGGGCAGCGGGAUUGAAGCUUGCUUCAAUUGCCGGCGACCGGCGCACGGGUGAGUAACGCGUAUCCAACCUUCCGCUUACUCGGGGAUAGCCUUUCGAAAGAAAGAUUAAUACCCGAUUGUAUCUUAAGCACGCAUGAGAUUAACAUUAAAGAUUUAUCGGUAAGCGAUGGGGAUGCGUUCCA
Molecule: ribosomal RNA, 189 nt
Filed under: Phocaeicola coprophilus
Lineage: Bacteria; Pseudomonadati; Bacteroidota; Bacteroidia; Bacteroidales; Bacteroidaceae
Description: Bacteroides coprophilus partial 16S ribosomal RNA
Rfam family: Bacterial small subunit ribosomal RNA
Source: RNAcentral